This 305-nucleotide ribosomal RNA is filed under the name uncultured bacterium. Its description in RNAcentral is "bacterial SSU rRNA". It matches the Rfam family "Bacterial small subunit ribosomal RNA", at positions 335 to 639 of the family's 1533-position model. The record is from RNAcentral.
GUCCUACGGGGCGCAGCAGUGAGGAAUAUUGGUCAAUGGGAGAGAUCCUGAACCAGCCAAGCCGCGUGAGGGAAGACGGCCCUAUGGGUUGUAAACUUCUUUUGUCAAGGGACAAAAUCAGGCUCGAGAGCCUGACCGAGGGUACUUGAAGAAAAAGCAUCGGCUAACUCCGUGCCAGCAGCCGCGGUAAUACGGAGGAUGCGAGCGUUAUCCGGAUUUAUUGGGUUUAAAGGGUGCGUAGGCGGACUGUUAAGUCAGCGGUAAAAGCCCGGGGCUCAACCCCGGCGAGCCGUUGAAACUGGCUG